CCUACGUGUGGCUGCAGUGGGGAAUAUUGCACAAUGGGGGAAACCCUGAUGCAGCGACGCCGCGUGAGUGAAGAAGUAAUUCGUUACGUAAAGCUCUAUCAGCAGGGAAGAAAUACUGACCAUACGGUCAGCAGACGGUACCUGAGUAAGAAGCACCGGCGAACUACGUGCCAGCAGCCGCGGUAAUACGGCGGGGGCAAGCGUUAUCCGGAUUUAUUGGGUGUAAAGGGAGCGUAGACGGUGCGCCAAGACUGGAGUGAAAUGCCGCGGCUUAACUGCGGAACUGCUUUGGAAACUGGCGAACUAGAGUGCGGGAGGGGUAAGCGGAAUUCCUAGUGUAGCGGUGAAAUGCGUAGAUAUUAGGAGGAACACCGGUGGCGAAGGCGGCUUACUGGACCGUAACUGACGUUGAGGCUCGAAAGCGUGGGGAGCGAACAGGAUUAGAUACCCCGGUAGUC
This 458-nucleotide ribosomal RNA is filed under the name uncultured bacterium. RNAcentral describes it as "partial 16S ribosomal RNA". It matches the Rfam family "Bacterial small subunit ribosomal RNA", at positions 338 to 795 of the family's 1533-position model. The record is from RNAcentral.